GAAACUAAAAGAAUUUGGCGGUAUUAUAUAGCAUCAGGGGAACCUGUUUUUUAAUCGAUAGUACUCGUUCUACCUUACUUGGGCUUAAGUUUAUAUAUCGCUGUUUUGAACUAAUAUUUAGGUUAGGUUCUGGAAGUUAGUUGGGAAGAUAUUUCAGGUCAAGGUUUAGUAGAUGUUUGAGUAAAAAUGGGUUACAAUAAUAGGAGUKAUACGGAAGUUUUGUUAAAAUGUGAUGGAAGGUGGAUUUGAAAGUAAGUUUAUUGAUAAAUAGGUUGAAAGG
This 280-nucleotide ribosomal RNA is filed under the name Zorotypus sp. 1 YM-2019. Its description in RNAcentral is "partial 12S ribosomal RNA". The record is from RNAcentral. Lineage: Eukaryota; Metazoa; Arthropoda; Insecta; Zoraptera; Zorotypidae.